RNAcentral lists this ribosomal RNA (559 nucleotides) under uncultured fungus. RNAcentral's name for it is "eukaryotic LSU rRNA". The stretch from base 208 to 361 matches the Rfam family "5.8S ribosomal RNA". Lineage: Eukaryota; Fungi. The record is from RNAcentral.
AAGUCGUAACAAGGUCUCCGUUGGUGAACCAGCGGAGGGAUCAUUACCGAGUUUACAACUCCCAAACCCCUGUGAACAUACCUAUAAUUUGCCUCGGCGGACUCAACGACGGUGCUCCGAGAAAUCGGGCGCCGCUCGCUGCCAGAGGAACCCCAAACUCUAUGUAUUCUUGUGGAUCUUCUGAGUAAAACAAAACAAAUAAAUCAAAACUUUCAACAACGGAUCUCUUGGUUCUGGCAUCGAUGAAGAACGCAGCGAAAUGCGAUAAGUAAUGUGAAUUGCAGAAUUCAGUGAAUCAUCGAAUCUUUGAACGCACAUUGCGCCCGCCAGUAUUCUGGCGGGCAUGCCUGUUCGAGCGUCAUUUCAACCCUCAAGCCCCCGGGCUUGGUGUUGGGGAUCGGCGAUAGUCGCCGUCCCCCAAAUCUAGUGGCGGUCUCGCUGUAGCCUCCAUUGCGUAGUAGCUAACACCUCGCAACUGGAACGCGGCGCGGCCAAGCCGUUAAACCCCCAACUUCUGAAUGUUGACCUCGGAUCAGGUAGGAAUACCCGCUGAACUUAA